RNAcentral lists this ribosomal RNA (442 nucleotides) under uncultured bacterium. RNAcentral's name for it is "partial 16S ribosomal RNA". It matches the Rfam family "Bacterial small subunit ribosomal RNA", at positions 338 to 795 of the family's 1533-position model. The record is from RNAcentral.
CCUACGGGCGGCAGCAGUAGGGAAUCUUUCACAAUGGGCGAAAGCCUGAUGGAGCAACGCCGCGUGCAGGAUGAAGGCCUUCGGGUUGUAAACUGCUUUUAUCAGCGAGAAAUAUUAUGGUAACUUAUGACUAAGGAUCGGCUAACUACGUGCCAGCAGCCGCGGUCAUACGUAGGAUCCGAGCAUUAUCCGGGGUGACUGGGUGUAAAGAGUUGCGUAGGUGGCAUAAUAAGUAGCUAGUGAAAUCUGGUGGCUCAACCAUUCAGACUAUUAGCUAAACUGUUAAGCUCGAGACCGUUAGGGGUAACUGGAAUUUCUAGUGUAGGAGUGAAAUCCGUAGAUAUUAGAAGGAACACCAAUAGCGUAGGCAAGUUACUGGGACGGUUCUGACACUGAGGCACGAAAGCGUAGGUAGCAAACGGGAUUAGAUACCCUUGUAGUC